AUAUGAGGCCUAUAAUUUCUGUUGAAAAGUCAGCCAUAAUUUUUAUUAUUACUCCUUUGAAAAUUAUAUAUUUCUACCAGUCUGACUGCUUUUUUUUUUUUUUUUUGUGGUACGCGGGCCUCUCACUGUUGUGGCCUCUCCCGUUGCGGAGUACAGGCUCCGGACGCGCAGGCUCAGCGGCCAUGGCUCACGGGCCCAGCCGCUCCGCGGCAUGUGGGAUCUUCCCGGACCGGGGCACGAACCCCUGUGCCCUGCAUCAGCAGACGGACUCGCAAACACUGUGCCACCAGGGAAGCCCACUCUGACUGCUUUUGAGAUUAUACAUAUGCUUUGAUUUUCUGUAAUUUCACUAUUAUUUGCUUAGAUGAGGACUUCUUUAUAUGAAUCAUGUUUGAAGUUUGUUGAAAUUUUUGAACCUCUGUGUCUUUCACCAUAUUUUGAAAAUUCUUGGUCAUUAUUUCUUCAAGGAUUGCUCUGUCUCAUUCUCCCUUCUCCUUGUGGACUCUAGUUACAUGCAUAUUGACUUCUCAAGCAUGAUGCAUUUGACUUGUUCACUCUGCCCCCGACCCUGGCAUUUUUCCUCUGUGUGCAUAGGUUUGUAUAUCUUCUUUUGACCUUUCUUCACUUAUCCUGUCUUCUGCCAUUCCCAGUCUGCUAUUAGAUCAAUCCAGUAAGCUUCUAACUCCAGAUGCUACAUUCUUUAGUUCUAGGAUAUCCACUUGAUUUUUUAUUGAUUCCAGUUCUUUGUUGAAAUUCUCCUCCUUUUCAUCUGAUUUAUCCUCCUUUUCUCUGUUUUCUUUAACAUAUUUAUUAAAGUUAUAUUAAGUACUAGUCUGUAAACUCCAGCAUCUAGAGCAUCUCUUGGAUUGCUUUUUCUCUCAUAACAAAAACAAAAAUGGUACUUAGGUGAGGUUAAGGAUAUGCCAACUAACCUUAUUAUGGUAAAUAUUUCACAUCAUAUACAUUAUAAAUCAUCACAUUGUACACCUUAAACUUACACAAUUAUAUGUCAAUUAUAUCUCAAUAAAGCUGGGAAAAUCAUCUUAAUAAAAAUCACCUUAAUAACAGCUUAAGAGCUUAUAUCAAUGAAGCUACAAAGCUUUGUAAUCAGGUGUACAAUGAAAGUUGAGUAGAGGGGCAUGUUUUUUCUCUGGAAGGGAAGAAUGAAUAUUAUAAACAAGUCAGUUCUUCCCAAACCAAAUUGUACUUUCUGUGCAACUCCAAUCAAAAUUGUACUGAGCAUGUUGGUAUUUCAAAAUUAUUUGACUUAAUAUGGAAAUCUAAUUAUGUGAAUCUAGUUUUAAUAUUUUUAAAGAGAAUAAUGGGAUAAUAACAGUAACCCCCACUAGAUAUUUUUGAAGGGAUGGAGCUUUUAUAAAAACCAAAUUUGCGUUGUGUUUGCACAGCUCUUCCCAGAGUCUGAUGCUCUGAGGUUCUACUUCACCCUCUUCUUGUGCUGAGACACCAGUCAAGACCCUGGUCCUCGGUCCAUAUCUGGGUGGCUGCUGGAUGAGAGGUGAGGAGAUAGAAGUAACCCUGAGUCUCCCUCACUUGCAGAUAAGCCAGCUUUUCUGCUUGUCUCCACACAGCGCCCCAGAUUCCCUGCUGCAGUUCUGGAAACUCCCAACCUUUCUGCCUGAUUAGUUUUCCACCUGGACCUGCCCCAGCGUAUACCUCAGAGCCCAUGCAGGUGCCACGACUUGCUGCUCAGAAUACCAUCAGCCACCUGAGAUCAGAGUGCCUUGCAGGAAACAGCAGCACUAACGAUGAAAUCAGAUAGAAAGGCAUCCUUUCUGAUGACUCCUUGGAGCCACAUAGCAGCCAUGGGACACCUACCUCUGACUUCACUGUAUACGAGUGAAGACAGUCUGCUUUCUAUUCUACAUUGCUAUAAUUUUGAGUUUCUGCUGUAGUGGUAGAACAAUUUCUAACACACAUGCACCCAUACCAAACACACGGUAAGAUGCAACUAAAAAAAAAUAGAUUGGGAAAUCUCGUGUGUAUAGAAGGCUAGUUGUUCCCUGUGGAAGGGGUAUGAGGAUCCCAGAGUACAGACCCCUGGAGAAAGGAAGGGCUCAGUGAGCUGCUCUUACUUAAGACAGAAGUCUCUGAAAGCAGAUUCCGGGCUCCACCUUCUACUAAGCCUCCCCUACCACCGAAUACCUAGGUCCCCUGCUUGGUGAGCUAAUUCUUUUUUUACUGUUUUUUUGGGGGGUUGGUUAGAGGGUUGUUUUGCUUUGUUUGCUGACAUGUAAACACUAAGGACAAGGGGAAACCUCUUGCCAGCUCCAGAAACCUCGAAGCUAUAAAAACAAAGACAUAAUUUAUUACAUAAAGACUAAAAAUGUUUCUAUAACCAAAGAUAUUAUAAAGUCAAUAAAAUCUGAUACAUUAAAUAUUUUAAUAAAGACAGAUCAAGGUUAAUAUAGCAAGUUCUGUAAAGUUUAAAAGAAAAAUUUUAAAUAAUAUAAUAAAUUUUGUAGAAAUGGCCAAUAAACACGUUUUUAAAAGAUCAAAAUUACUACUGGCCAGGGACUGGAAAAUGAAUAGGGAGACUGGCAGAAACAGAGAAGAGCAUAAACAAAAGAAAGUGACUCAGGGCAGAGGGUGAUUUAGAACAGGGGCGAGGACAGCAGCUCAGGGCAGUCAGACAAAGGCUAUCGUUUCUGGUCAGCAGCUGUGAGGUGAAGAAGGGACCAGACCUCUUAAGUAGAGCCCCACCCUGGUCAGAACCUCUCUGCCGAGUCUACCAUCCUCACAUAGACGGCCUACCUGACUCUGAAGAGCCUUAGUCCUUCCCCCAGGUGCCCUGCGGCCCUCGCCUUCCCCUGGGACCCCCUGGACCCCUGACCAUCCUGGAGCAAGUGCUUCUCAGCCCUGAUGUCCCUGGAGACUGAGCUGAGAGGACACAUACUGAAGGACGGGAGCCCCAUUCCUCCCUAGAGCUGCCCACCUGUUUUUCUUAUUUUCUCAGUUUCACAUUAGUGUUUUUUCUGAUAAGUAUCCCCACACUCAUCACUCCUCCAGGCGACAGGACCGGAUCCUGAGGCAGCAGAUCAAACACUGGGGAGAGGGACCGUGUAUCGGAUGCAGUCCUGUCCCUGCAUCAUGAACAGCAGGCUUGUGAGGCCCUGAACUCUGGGGGAUGUUGGAGAUGACGAAGAAGAGGAGAAGGACCAAGAGGUUUUGCAGGGGGGAAAUCAGAGCUUCAUUCCAACGCGGAGAAGAGAGGGAAGGAGACUAAUAUCCAGGCUGAGCCUCUGGGCUGCCCGACCAAACACAGGAUUCUCCCCAGGAAGCUCUAUGAAAAUACAUGGAUUAAAAAAUCAACAGGCUGAGCUUAUUCUCCUUCCAGAGGGGAGCUAGGAUUGCUCCAUCCUCACAAGCCAACACCAAGAUUCACAACCUCCUGGUGUGCACAUUCCCUCAGUACAAGCCUGCGCUCCCAGCUAGCCGUCCAGGACCACUAGGAGUGCUCUGGGAUGGGUUUAACCACCAGCGCAGCAGAAAGAAAAGGGCCUGGUUUGAAGCAUUAUCCAUUUCUACGGCGUAAAUAUUCCCAACUUGGCUAUUGUCCAGCUGUGAGUGACUCUCCUGAGGACUCCUCCCACCUACCCUCUCAGGAAAAAAGUCAGGACUUCUGUCCUAUUGGCCCUGUAGAAAGAACCCCGACCUCAGCCUCAGAGUAAGUCUGGAGGAAUACCUGCAAACUCCUUGGCGCUUCAGUAGAAAUGUUAAGGUGCCGUGGAGAGGGACUAUGAUGGAGACUAACUUCCUGGUGCCCAAGAGGCAGAAGCUUCAAAGCUCAUGCUUGGAAACUGCCUCACCUCGCUGUUCCCUGAGUCUCAGCGUAAUCUCCGUUCCAUCUUCUAAAGUCUGCUGAACACUUCUCAGGUGGGCGUGGAUCUUAAUUUGUUUCUGCCUCAUCUCCAUCCUUGUCCUGCUGUCCAUGGAGAUCUGUGAUAGUACAGGAGUCACUUUUGGAGGCCGUUCCUCUCAUCUGUUGUUAAGAGCUGAACUGUGAUGCCCAAAUUCAUAUGUUGACAUCCUAACCCCCAGUAUCUCAGAAUGUGACUAUUUGAAGAUGGAUCCUUUAAGAAAGCAAUUAGGGUAAAAUGAGGCCAUUAAAGUGGGUCCUAAUCCGAUAUGACUGGUGUCCAUAUAUGAAGAAGAGAUUAGGACACAGACACACAGAGAGUGAUGACCAUGUGAAGACACAGGAGAAGGUGGCCAUCUCCAAGCCAAGGAGAGAGGUUGCAGAAGAAACCAACUCUGUAGACAACGUGAUCUUGGAUUUCUAGCCUCCAGAAUUGUGAGACAAUAAACUUCUGCGUUUUAAACCACCCAGUCUGUGGUACAUUGUUAUGUCAGCCCUA
Long non-coding RNA from Physeter macrocephalus (sperm whale), 4376 nucleotides. RefSeq lists it as uncharacterized. The transcript is spliced from 5 exons. NCBI's taxonomy places the organism in Eukaryota, Metazoa, Chordata, Mammalia, Artiodactyla, Physeteridae. The record is from RefSeq and is a predicted model, not a curated record.